UGAGGGGGGCUGCUCCUAGUACGAGAGGACCGGAGUGGACGCAUCACUGGUGUUCGGGUUGUCAUGCCAAUGGCACUGCCCGGUAGCUAAAUGCGGAAGAGAUAAGUGCUGAAAGCAUCUAAGCACGAAACUUGCCCCGAGAUAAGUUCUCCCUGACUCCUUGAGAGUCCUGAAGGAACGUUGAAGACGACGACGUUGAUAGGCCGGGUGUGUAAGCGCAGCGAUGCGUUGAGCUAACCGGUACUAAUGAACCGUGAGGCUUAACCUUACAACGCCGAAG
RNAcentral lists this ribosomal RNA (280 nucleotides) under Escherichia coli. RNAcentral's name for it is "partial 23S ribosomal RNA". It matches the Rfam family "Bacterial large subunit ribosomal RNA", at positions 2663 to 2925 of the family's 2925-position model. Lineage: Bacteria; Pseudomonadati; Pseudomonadota; Gammaproteobacteria; Enterobacterales; Enterobacteriaceae. The record is from RNAcentral.